This 72-nucleotide transfer RNA is filed under the name Staphylococcus aureus. Its description in RNAcentral is "tRNA-Glu". It matches the Rfam family "tRNA". From Rfam's summary of the family: Transfer RNA (tRNA) molecules are approximately 80 nucleotides in length. Their secondary structure includes four short double-helical elements and three loops (D, anti-codon, and T loops). Lineage: Bacteria; Bacillati; Bacillota; Bacilli; Caryophanales; Staphylococcaceae. The record is from RNAcentral.
GGCUCCUUGGUCAAGCGGUUAAGACACCGCCCUUUCACGGCGGUAACACGGGUUCGAGUCCCGUAGGAGGCA